GCCCGGAUGGCGGAAUUGGUAUACGCUGCAGACUUAAAAUCUGCCGCUCGCAAGGGCUUGUGGGUUCGAGUCCCACUCCGGGCA
This 84-nucleotide transfer RNA is filed under the name Patescibacteria group bacterium. Its description in RNAcentral is "tRNA-Leu". It matches the Rfam family "tRNA". Rfam says of the family: Transfer RNA (tRNA) molecules are approximately 80 nucleotides in length. Their secondary structure includes four short double-helical elements and three loops (D, anti-codon, and T loops). Further hydrogen bonds mediate the characteristic L-shaped molecular structure. tRNAs have two regions of fundamental functional importance: the anti-codon, which is responsible for specific mRNA codon recognition, and the 3' end, to which the tRNAs corresponding amino acid is attached (by aminoacyl-tRNA synthetases). tRNAs cope with the degeneracy of the genetic code in two manners: having more than one tRNA (with a specific anti-codon) for a particular amino acid; and 'wobble' base-pairing, i.e. permitting non-standard base-pairing at the 3rd anti-codon position. RNAcentral also lists the same sequence under 1 other name. The record is from RNAcentral.